UACGUAGGGUGCAAGCGUUGUCCGGAAUUAUUGGGCGUAAAGAGCUCGUAGGCGGUCUGUUGCGUCGGCUGUGAAAACCCGAAGCUCAACCUCGGGCCUGCAGCCGAUACGGGCAGACUAGAGUUCGGCAGGGGAGACUGGAAUUCCUGGUGUAGCGGUGAAAUGCGCAGAUAUCAGGAGGAACACCGGUGGCGAAGGCGGGUCUCUGGGCCGAUACUGACGCUGAGGAGCGAAAGCGUGAGGAGCGAACAGG
RNAcentral lists this ribosomal RNA (253 nucleotides) under uncultured bacterium. RNAcentral's name for it is "partial 16S ribosomal RNA". It matches the Rfam family "Bacterial small subunit ribosomal RNA", at positions 524 to 776 of the family's 1533-position model. The record is from RNAcentral.